This 115-nucleotide ribosomal RNA is filed under the name Prolemur simus (greater bamboo lemur). The record is from RNAcentral. Lineage: Eukaryota; Metazoa; Chordata; Mammalia; Primates; Lemuridae.
AUCUAUGGCCAUAUCACCCUGAAUGAGCCCCAUCUCAUCUGACCUCGGAAGCUGAGCAGGGUCGGGCCUGGUCAGCACUUGGGUGGGAGAAACUUUUGCUUCCUGACUACAGAUG